Molecule: ribosomal RNA, 416 nt
Filed under: uncultured Glomus
Lineage: Eukaryota; Fungi; Glomeromycota; Glomeromycetes; Glomerales; Glomeraceae
Description: SSU rRNA
Rfam family: Eukaryotic small subunit ribosomal RNA
Source: RNAcentral
AUGCACUGGCCUCACUGAUUCCUCCUUCCUGAUGAGCGUAAUGCCAUUAAUUGGUGUUGUGGGAAUUGGACUGUUACUUUGAAAAAUUAGAGUGUUUAAAGCAAGCUAACGCUUGAAUACAUUAGCAUGGAAUAAUGAAAUAGGACGUUCGAUCCUAAUUUUGUUGGUUUUCUAGGAUUGACGUAAUGAUUAAUAGGGAUAGUUGGGGGCAUUAGUAUUCAAUUGUCAGAGGUAAAUUCUUGGAUUUAUUGAAGACUAACUACUGCGAAAGCAUUUGCCAAGGAUGUUUUCAUUAAUCAAGAACGAAAGUUAGGGGAUCGAAGACGAUCAGAUACCGUCGUAGUCUUUAACCAUAAACUAUGCCGACUAGGGAUCGGAUGAUGUUAAUUUUUUAAUGACUCAUUCGGCGCCUUACG